RNAcentral lists this long non-coding RNA (301 nucleotides) under Ananas comosus (pineapple). RNAcentral's name for it is "long non-coding RNA (ACOM_LNC013106)". Lineage: Eukaryota; Viridiplantae; Streptophyta; Magnoliopsida; Poales; Bromeliaceae. The record is from RNAcentral.
CAUUGAUCUUUUCCUCCGAUUUUCGCCGAGCUUUUGUUGCUGGAUUUGAAGCUUGUUGGGUUCGUCUUGUGCCACCUUGAAAGCGUGCCGAUGGGGUAGAACGUGGUCGUUGUAUCACUAGGAGUAAUUGCCGGAAAGCCUCGCACGUGGAGGGACAAUUUCGCUUAUAGGACAGUGCUCUGCACGUCUCGAUCCACAUGUCUUUUCUAAUCCUUAUAUUUACAAUAUUUUUAUUUUGUUUCGUUUCGAAAUUUUUUUAAACCUGAAAUUAAACUUUCGAAUUGAUUUUUAAAGAAUAUUA